CAUGCCGUAAACGUUGGGCGCUAGGUGUGGGGACCUUCCACGGUCUCCGUGCCGCAGCUAACGCAUUAAGCGCCCCGCCUGGGGAGUACGGCCGCAAGGCUAAAACUCAAAGGAAUUGACGGGGGCCCGCACAAGCGGCGGAGCAUGCUGAUUAAUUCGAUGCAACGCGAAGAACCUUACCUGGGUUUGACAUAUACCGGAAAGCUGCAGAGAUGUAGCCCCCUUUUGGUCGGUAUACAGGUGG
This 244-nucleotide ribosomal RNA is filed under the name uncultured Aeromicrobium sp. Its description in RNAcentral is "partial 16S ribosomal RNA". It matches the Rfam family "Bacterial small subunit ribosomal RNA", at positions 796 to 1041 of the family's 1533-position model. Lineage: Bacteria; Bacillati; Actinomycetota; Actinomycetes; Propionibacteriales; Nocardioidaceae. The record is from RNAcentral.